UGAGUACGAGAUGCUACGGCGUCGAAGCAGUCUAGGUCAUACUUCCAAGAAAAGCUUGCACUGUCAUAAACAAAGAAUGCCUGUACCAUAACCGACACAGGUGGGUAGGUAGAGUAUACUAAGGGGCGCGAGAUAACUCUCUCUAAGGAACUCGGCAAAAUGACUCCGUAACUUCGGGAGAAGGAGUGCCUUAUUUUUAAGGUUGCAAUAACAAGAUCCAAGCAACUGUUUACCAAAAACACAGGUCUCCGCUAAGUCGUAAGACGAUGUAUGGGGGCUGACGCCUGCCCAGUGCCAGAAGGUUAAAGAAGUUGGUUAGCAUUUGCGAAGCUGAUAACUGAAGCCCUGGUGAACGGCGGCCGUAACGAUAACGGUCCUAAGGUAGCGAAAUUCCUUGUCGGGUAAGUUCCGACCCGCACGAAAGGCGUAAUGAUUUGGAUACUGUCUCGGAGAGGGGCUCGGUGAAAUAGACUUGUCUGUGAAGAUGCGGACUACCUGCACCUGGACAGAAAGACCCUAUGAAGCUUUACUGUAACUUGAGAUUGAAAUUGGACUUUAUUUGCGCAGUAUAGGUGGGAGGCGUUGAGAAUAAUCUUGCGGGAUUAUCGGAGCCAUCAGUGAGAUACCACUCUUGUAAUGUUAGAUUUCUAACUUUGUAUCAUUAUCUGGUCAAAGAACAGUUUCAGGCGGGCAGUUUGACUGGGGCGGUCGCCUCCCAAAGGGUAACGGAGGCGCACAAAGGUUUCCUCUGAACGGGUAGAAAUCGUAUCUAGAGUGUAAAGGCAUAAGGAAGCUUGACUGUGAGACCUACAAGUCGAGCAGGGACGAAAGUCGGUCUUAGUGAUCUGACGGUGCUGAGUGGAAAGGCCGUCACUCAACGGAUAAAAGUUACUCUAGGAUAACAGGCUGAUCUCCCCCAAGAGUUCACAUCGACGGGGAGGUUUGGCACCUCGAUGUCGGCUCAUCGCAUCCUGGGGCGGUAGUACGUCCCAAGGGUUGGGCUGUUCGCCCAUGAAAGCGGUACGCGAGCUGGGUUCAGAACGUCGUGAGACAGUUCGGUCCAUAUCCGGUGUAGGCGUUAGAAUAUUGAAAGGAGCCUUCUCUAGUACGAGAGGACCGAGAAGGACAUACCUCUGGUGUGCCAGUUAUCGUGCCAACGGUAAACGCUGGGUAGCUAUGUAUGGAGUGGAUAACCGCUGAAAGCAUCUAAGUGGGAAGCCCACCUUAGGAUAAGUA
Molecule: ribosomal RNA, 1236 nt
Filed under: metagenome
Description: bacterial LSU rRNA
Rfam family: Bacterial large subunit ribosomal RNA
Source: RNAcentral